UACGUAGGGGGCAAGCGUUGUCCGGAAUUAUUGGGCGUAAAGAGCGUGUAGGCGGUCCGGUAAGUCGGCUGUGAAAGUCCAGGGCUCAACCCUGGGAUGCCGGUCGAUACUGCCGGGCUAGAGUCCGGAAGAGGCGAGUGGAACUCCUGGUGUAGCGGUGGAAUGCGCAGAUAUCAGGAAGAACACCAACGGCGAAGGCAGCUCGCUGGGACGGUACUGACGCUGAGACGCGAAAGCGUGGGGAGCGAACAGG
This 253-nucleotide ribosomal RNA is filed under the name uncultured bacterium. RNAcentral describes it as "partial 16S ribosomal RNA". It matches the Rfam family "Bacterial small subunit ribosomal RNA", at positions 524 to 776 of the family's 1533-position model. The record is from RNAcentral.